AGGCCGUUAGCUCAGGCGGAAGAGCACUGGCCUUUUAAGCCAGGGGUCGCGGGUUCGAAUCCCGCACGGCCUA
This 73-nucleotide transfer RNA is filed under the name Pseudomonadota bacterium. Its description in RNAcentral is "tRNA-Lys". It matches the Rfam family "tRNA". Rfam says of the family: Transfer RNA (tRNA) molecules are approximately 80 nucleotides in length. RNAcentral also lists the same sequence under 3 other names. Lineage: Bacteria; Pseudomonadati; Pseudomonadota. The record is from RNAcentral.